This is a long non-coding RNA of Quercus robur (English oak), 493 nucleotides long. RefSeq lists it as uncharacterized. Lineage: Eukaryota; Viridiplantae; Streptophyta; Magnoliopsida; Fagales; Fagaceae. The transcript is spliced from 2 exons. The record is from RefSeq and is a predicted model, not a curated record.
ACCAGCAGGACCAAUGUUCCAAGUUGUGACCUUGAGUGGAAACACAUUGACAAUGACCUCAGGCACACACUCUUUCAAGGAUUGGAGGAGCCAAGAAGUUAACAAAAAUUUAGAUAAGAUCACAGAAGGGCCUCUUUACAACUUUUGGGAUGCAAAGAAGAGUGAUACUGCAAAGUUUGAAAGGUUCUAUAGUGGGAUGCUGGAGCAAGGAAUAUAUUUUGCUCCUUCAUAUUUUGAGGCUGCAUUUGCAAGCUUGGCAAAUAGCACAUACUCCUGUAGAGUGAAGAUAUCCCAAAAAAAAAAAAAAACAAUAGCAGCGGCUGAGCAGGUUUUAGUGCAGAUUUAGGGUAGCAAUUCCUGCGUCCAUAGCCUUUGAUUUUCUGUUGCCCCUCAAGCAUAAUUGUUGUUUUGUAGGUGAAUUGAGAGUGUGUAUCACUAUUAAGUUUAUAAUCGAUUUACGGAGCAAAACAAUCAUAAAAGAAUCCCUCAUUAA